AACGCUGGCGGCAGGCUCACGCUUAACAGUCGAACGAGAAGCCCCUUCGGGGGUUGACAGUGGCAGACGGGUACGCGUGGGAAUCUACCCUAGGGUCUGGGACAACUACUGGAAACGGUGGCUAAUACCGGAUACGCUCGCAAGAGGAAAGAUUUAUUGCCCUUGUGAUGAGCCCGCGUAAGAUUAGCUUGUUGGUGAGGUAACGGCUCACCAAGGCCUACGAAUCUUUAGACUGGCUCUGAGAAGGAUGAUCAGCCACUAUUGGAGACUGAAGACACGUGCCCAGGACUCCCUACGGAGAGGCAGCAGUGGGGAAUAUUGCGCAAUGGGGGAAACCUGACGCGCCAUGCCGAGAUGAAUGACAAAAGCCUAAGGUAGUACAAUACUAUCA
RNAcentral lists this ribosomal RNA (391 nucleotides) under uncultured bacterium. RNAcentral describes it as "bacterial SSU rRNA". It matches the Rfam family "Bacterial small subunit ribosomal RNA", at positions 32 to 438 of the family's 1533-position model. The record is from RNAcentral.